RNAcentral lists this ribosomal RNA (643 nucleotides) under Escherichia coli. RNAcentral's name for it is "partial 23S ribosomal RNA". It matches the Rfam family "Bacterial large subunit ribosomal RNA", at positions 1242 to 1869 of the family's 2925-position model. The record is from RNAcentral. Lineage: Bacteria; Pseudomonadati; Pseudomonadota; Gammaproteobacteria; Enterobacterales; Enterobacteriaceae.
UGUAAGCCUGUGAAGGUGUACUGUGAGGUAUGCUGGAGGUAUCAGAAGUGCGAAUGCUGACAUAAGUAACGAUAAAGCGGGUGAAAAGCCCGCUCGCCGGAAGACCAAGGGUUCCUGUCCAACGUUAAUCGGGGCAGGGUGAGUCGACCCCUAAGGCGAGGCCGAAAGGCGUAGUCGAUGGGAAACAGGUUAAUAUUCCUGUACUUGGUGUUACUGCGAAGGGGGGACGGAGAAGGCUAUGUUGGCCGGGCGACGGUUGUCCCGGUUUAAGCGUGUAGGCUGGUUUUCCAGGCAAAUCCGGAAAAUCAAGGCUGAGGCGUGAUGACGAGGCACUACGGUGCUGAAGCAACAAAUGCCCUGCUUCCAGGAAAAGCCUCUAAGCAUCAGGUAACAUCAAAUCGUACCCCAAACCGACACAGGUGGUCAGGUAGAGAAUACCAAGGCGCUUGAGAGAACUCGGGUGAAGGAACUAGGCAAAAUGGUGCCGUAACUUCGGGAGAAGGCACGCUGAUAUGUAGGUGAAGCGACUUGCUCGUGGAGCUGAAAUCAGUCGAAGAUACCAGCUGGCUGCAACUGUUUAUUAAAAACACAGCACUGUGCAAACACGAAAGUGGACGUAUACGGUGUGACGCCUGCCCGGUGC